RNAcentral lists this long non-coding RNA (1264 nucleotides) under Anser cygnoides (Swan goose). RNAcentral's name for it is "lncRNA (ENSACDG00005007155.1)". Lineage: Eukaryota; Metazoa; Chordata; Aves; Anseriformes; Anatidae. The record is from RNAcentral.
ACAUAGGGGUGUGCAGGGUUUUGUGGGGUCUUUUGGGGUCUCACUGCCCCCCCGUUUUCCCCCCCCAGCCCGUGCUGCCCCACACCGCCGUGUGCCGGGCGUGCGGCGAGGCCGGCCGGGAGGACGCGGCCGAGGGCGAGGAGGAGAGGCUGGAGCUGGCGCUGAUGGAGUGCACCAUCUGCAGCGAGAUCGUCCACCCCCGCUGCCUCCAGGUACCCCGGGGGGGCCCCAAAAUUUGGGGGGGGGGGCACCCCGUUUUGGGGCAAAAACCCCCCAACGAUAGGGCCGCCGAUUUACGGGGCCGUAACCCCGGUACGCCGCGCUUCCGCCCCCGUUAAACCUCUUUUCGUCCCGUUUUUGCCUUAAUUUGGGGGGCGUCCUGCUCGAAGACCCCCCCCCGACCUAAAAACCCCCACCCCAAAAUUUGGGGACCCCCCCCAUUUUCCUAUAGGGCGGCCGCCCCAAAGAUUGGGGCGCUAUGGGGCCGCCGGCGUCGCGUAACGGCAAGACGUGCCCCAAAAAAGUAGGGUUUUUUCCCAAAAAUUGGAUUUUUUUCCCCCCCAAAGUGUGUUUUUUUCCCCAUGGGGGGGCCGCCGUAUAGGGGGUGCCCCCCUAAAUAUGGGGGGACCCCCCUAAAUAUAGGGGAACCCCCCUAAAUAUAGGGGAGCCCCCACUUUCUAUGGGGCAGCCCCGUGUAGCAUAGGGGGGAACCCAAACUCUCUGUUUUUUGGCAAAUUGGGGGAUUUUCCCUAAAAUCAAGGCUUUUACCCCAAAAAGUAGAGCUUCCCCUAUAUGGGGGUGCCCCAAAAAAUAUGGGUGGGCCCCCAUUUUUUAUAGGGCAGCCCCCUAUGGGGUGGGGAGCCCCCCCUAUGGGGCACAACGCGACCCAAACUCCCCAUUUUUUGGCAAUUUGGGGGAUUUUCCCUUAAAUCGAGGGUUUUACCCCAAAAAGCGGGGCUUCCCCUAUAUGGGGGUGCCCCAAAAAUUAUGGGGGGGCCCCGUUUUCUAUAGGGCAGCCCCCUAUGGGGUGGGACGGGGCCCUAUGGGGCAGCACCCAACCUAAACGCUCCCCAAAAGUAGGGUUUUUCCCCCCAAAAGUGGGCUUUUUCCCCAAAAACGUGGGAUUUUUCCCCAAAAACAUGUAUUUUUCCCCAAAAAGCUCAGAUUUCCCCAUUCCCCCCCAAAUUUAGGGGUCCCCUAAAUAUUUGGGAUCCCCUAAAUACGGGGCUGCCCCCCCAAAUUUCCCAACGGAGCCGUGCUACGC